RNAcentral lists this ribosomal RNA (870 nucleotides) under uncultured archaeon. Its description in RNAcentral is "bacterial SSU rRNA". It matches the Rfam family "Archaeal small subunit ribosomal RNA", at positions 1 to 878 of the family's 1478-position model. The record is from RNAcentral.
UCUGGUUGAUCCUGCCAGAGGUUACUGCUAUCGAGGUUCGACUAAGCCAUGCGAGUCGAAUGUAGCAAUACAUGGCGUACUGCUCAGUAACACGUGGACAACCUACCCUCAGCACGGGGAUAAACCCGGGAAACUGGGUAUAAUACCCGAUAGAUCUCGACUGCUGGAAUGCAUCGAGAUCGAAAGCUCCGGCGACUGAGGAUGGGUCUGCGGCCUAUCAGGUAGUAGUGGGUGUAGCGUACCUACUAGCCUACGACGGGUACGGGUUGUGAGAGCAAGAGCCCGGAGAUGGAUUCUGAGACACGAAUCCAGGCCCUACGGGGUGCAGCAGGCGCGAAAACUUUACAAUGCCGGCAACGGCGAUAAGGGAACCUCGAGUGCCAGGUUACAAAUCUGGCUGUCGUGAUGCCUAAAAAGCAUUGCAUAGCAAGGGCCGGGCAAGACCGGUGCCAGCCGCCGCGGUAACACCGGCGGCUCGAGUGGUAACCGUUAUUAUUGGGUCUAAAGGGUCUGUAGCCGGCCGGAUAAGUCUCUUGGGAAAUCCAGCAGCUCAACUGUUGGGCUUUCAGGAGAUACUGUUCGGCUCGAGGCCGGGAGAGGUGAGAGGUACUUCAGGGGUAGGGGUGAAAUCUUGUAAUCCUUGAAGGACCACCAGUGGCGAAGGCGUCUCACCAGAACGGACCUGACGGCAAGGGACGAAAGCUAGGGGCACGAACCGGAUUAGAUACCCGGGUAGUCCUAGCCGUAAACGAUACUCGCUAGGUGUCGGCCACGGUGCGACCGUGGUCGGUGCCGUAGGGAAGCCGUGAAGCGAGCCACCUGGGAAGUACGGCCGCAAGGCUGAAACUUAAAGGAAUUGGCGGGGGAGCA